CUCUGCUAGCAGCUGUCCCACAGGAAACCGAGUGGGAAGCUCACACCCAACCCUUACAGCUCGGAAGCAGCCAUGUUUCCUGAACACAAGUGCCAAUAAGCCCUGUGGCAUUGGCAAACCAAGGCCAGCUCAUGCCAAGGCCUCCAUGCCUCACCUAAACACUGACAAACACAUCGCUGGAUGCAGUCUGGCUUCCCUGUGUUAGUAGUGUUAAAACAGGACUUAGAAUGAUAAAAGUGUGCUUAGUGUUUAGAUUGUAGUGAAUGUUUGUAAAUUGCCACAUGCGUUAAUCUCAUUUAUAGCAUCUUUAUCCGAUGUCAUCAGUUGGUGUUACCGCCUGCCCAGCAGAGAAGGCCCAUCAACACCAGACAAACUAUUGUAGAACAUCAGAGGACAAAACUCUUUGUUGACUGCUCUCCCCCGGCCUAUGAAGACAAGACUCGCAAGUGAAUUCCUCCCAUCAACUGAACUGGCAGCUCAGACAAGGGGAAAGGGAAUAAAAAUCCCUAACAAGGAGAAACGGAUUGGCUACAAGUGUUGUCUUUGGUGUGAGAUCUAGGAUGCAAUUGACCUGGGGUAUCUGAUCCAGUCACGGCCUUCCACAGAUGAUUUCAUUCUAUCCAUGAGCUUAGGGGGUCGGUUACAUGGUAUCCAAAGUGGAGGCUGGUGGUUGCAGAAGACAUGUCUGGAGAGGGCUCAACUGGGUUGUGGGCUCCGAUCACUCCUGAGGCACGAAGAUGAAGUUCACAAGGGUACUCAGGGCGCGGGAGAUUUUUUUUCCUUCAGCCUUUAGUCAUGCUGUCAUUC
Long non-coding RNA from Mauremys reevesii (Reeves's turtle), 807 nucleotides. RefSeq lists it as uncharacterized. Lineage: Eukaryota; Metazoa; Chordata; Testudines; Geoemydidae. The transcript is spliced from 4 exons. The record is from RefSeq and is a predicted model, not a curated record.